ACACUUACAUAUCAGAAAGAAAAAGGAGAGGUAACAUAACUGGGAAGGUGGAUUCCUUGCAUUCAGGCUAUACUGACUCCUGCGGUUUUGCCAAAUGCAGGGAAGCUUGACUGCAUAACUUGUGGCAGUGAGACAGUGCACUGUGUAUCUUUCCC
This 155-nucleotide small nuclear RNA is filed under the name Dromaius novaehollandiae (emu). RNAcentral's name for it is "U1 spliceosomal RNA (ENSDNVG00000001409.1)". The record is from RNAcentral. Lineage: Eukaryota; Metazoa; Chordata; Aves; Casuariiformes; Dromaiidae.